GGGAUCUUAGCUCAGCUGGGAGAGCAUCUGCCUUACAAGCAGAUGGUCAUAGGUUCGAGCCCUAUAGGUCCCA
This 73-nucleotide transfer RNA is filed under the name Blautia massiliensis (ex Durand et al. 2017). RNAcentral describes it as "tRNA-Val". It matches the Rfam family "tRNA". From Rfam's summary of the family: Transfer RNA (tRNA) molecules are approximately 80 nucleotides in length. RNAcentral also lists the same sequence under 1 other name. The record is from RNAcentral. Lineage: Bacteria; Bacillati; Bacillota; Clostridia; Lachnospirales; Lachnospiraceae.